UACGGAGGGUGCAAGCAUUAAUCGGAAUUAUUGGGCGUAAAGGGCGCGUAGGCGGAUAUGUAAGUCAGAUGUGAAAUCCCGGGGCUCAACCUCGGAACUGCAUUUGAAACUGUAUCUCUAGAGGGUAGGCGGAGAAAACGGAAUUCCACAAGUAGCGGUGAAAUGCGUAGAUAUGUGGAAGAACACCGGUGGCGAAGGCGGUUUUCUAGCUUACUCCUGACGCUGAGGCGCGAAAGCAAGGGGAUCAAACAGG
This 253-nucleotide ribosomal RNA is filed under the name uncultured bacterium. Its description in RNAcentral is "partial 16S ribosomal RNA". It matches the Rfam family "Bacterial small subunit ribosomal RNA", at positions 524 to 776 of the family's 1533-position model. The record is from RNAcentral.